This 253-nucleotide non-coding RNA is filed under the name uncultured prokaryote. RNAcentral describes it as "partial 16S ribosomal RNA". It matches the Rfam family "Bacterial small subunit ribosomal RNA", at positions 524 to 776 of the family's 1533-position model. RNAcentral also lists the same sequence under 1 other name. The record is from RNAcentral.
GACAGAGGGUGCAAGCGUUGUUCGGAAUUACUGGGCGUAAAGCGCGCGCAGGCGGCUUUGCAAGUCGGGAGUGAAAUGCCGGGGCUCAACUCCGGCGCUGCUUUCGAAACUGCAUGGCUAGGGACCGGUAGAGGCUGGUAGAAUUCCUGGUGUAGCGGUGGAAUGCGUAGAGAUCAGGAAGAAUACCCGUGGCGAAGGCGGCCAGCUGGGCCGGGUCCGACGCUGAGGCGCGAAAGCGUGGGGAGCAAACAGG